Molecule: ribosomal RNA, 630 nt
Filed under: Campylobacter jejuni
Lineage: Bacteria; Pseudomonadati; Campylobacterota; Epsilonproteobacteria; Campylobacterales; Campylobacteraceae
Description: bacterial SSU rRNA
Rfam family: Bacterial small subunit ribosomal RNA
Source: RNAcentral
GGGGAGCAAACAGGAUUAGAUACCCUGGUAGUCCACGCCCUAAACGAUGUACACUAGUUGUUGGGGUGCUAGUCAUCUCAGUAAUGCAGCUAACGCAUUAAGUGUACCGCCUGGGGAGUACGGUCGCAAGAUUAAAACUCAAAGGAAUAGACGGGGACCCGCACAAGCGGUGGAGCAUGUGGUUUAAUUCGAAGAUACGCGAAGAACCUUACCUGGGCUUGAUAUCCUAAGAACCUUAUAGAGAUAUGAGGGUGCUAGCUUGCUAGAACUUAGAGACAGGUGCUGCACGGCUGUCGUCAGCUCGUGUCGUGAGAUGUUGGGUUAAGUCCCGCAACGAGCGCAACCCACGUAUUUAGUUGCUAACGGUUCGGCCGAGCACUCUAAAUAGACUGCCUUCGUAAGGAGGAGGAAGGUGUGGACGACGUCAAGUCAUCAUGGCCCUUAUGCCCAGGGCGACACACGUGCUACAAUGGCAUAUACAAUGAGACGCAAUACCGCGAGGUGGAGCAAAUCUAUAAAAUAUGUCCCAGUUCGGAUUGUUCUCUGCAACUCGAGAGCAUGAAGCCGGAAUCGCUAGUAAUCGUAGAUCAGCCAUGCUACGGUGAAUACGUUCCCGGGUCUUGUACUCAC